AUGGCUUGCCCUGGUUUGAUGUGGGCACUUGUGGUUUUCACCUGUCUUGGAUCCAGCACAGCCCAGACGGUCACUCAGACUCAACCAGACACGUCUUUGCGGGAGACAGAGACUGUGACCCUGCACUGCACGUAUGACACUAGUGACACUGAUUAUUAUUUGUUCUGGUACAAACAGCCUCCCAGUGGGGAGAUGAGUUUCAUUAUUCGCCAAGAAUCUUAUAAGCAAGAGAAUGCAACAGAGGAUCGCUUCUCUGUGAACUUCCAGAAAGCAAAAAAAUCCUUUGGUCUCAGGAUCUCAGACUCCCGCCUAGAGGAUGCUGCGACGUAUUUCUGUGCUAUCACUAGGGGCACAGUGACAUGAGCAGUUGGAAGAGGC
Molecule: non-coding RNA, 378 nt
Organism: Lontra canadensis (Northern American river otter)
Lineage: Eukaryota; Metazoa; Chordata; Mammalia; Carnivora; Mustelidae
Source: the annotation of a RefSeq genome assembly